AGACAUUACCACACGGCAGUUAGAGUUUCCGAAAUACUUUUGCUUUGGCGGUAUUUAUUUAUUGUCAGGAGCAUGGUUUACUUAAUUACAUUAUUUUAAAAUCGUACUUGGAUAUAAGAUACAAGCAAAUAUUGAACGGAAGUAGGUUUGCUUUGCUCUUUUUUACAGUAAUUUAGCUGACACUAGCACUAUUUCAUGUCUUUAUAAAAAAUGAUAAAUAUUCUUGAAACGAAUUGCUAUGACCAUGAAUCAUCGUCUCUGUGAAAUCUAUUUAUAGUUAAAUACUAUUGUUCGUUUUUUCGUUUGCAUGGUGUAUUAAAUUAAGGAAGUAAAGUAGGCAAAAUAAAUGUUCUACUGAUUCUUUAUAAUUUGUUUCUUUUAUUAUUUAACUAUAUAUAUAGUAUGACCUAUUAAAUUAUUCAAUAAAGUCUCUUCCAUGUAGCCAUAUGCUAAUAAUUUCCAAUAGUAGUUUUCUCUUCACAUUUUCCACUUAUUUCAUUAUAAUUUUAUUUGUUUUUAUAUAUAAAAAAAAAGCCUUAAAUGUUACGAGAUAUCGAAGACUGCUAAUACUUAAUUAGUUGACACACUUAUCGAUUUAAAGGCAAGCUAAUUGAAAAGCCCGCCUCUUUACUCAGAAAAGCCAAUGACCGUCAGACUAUGUUAGUUAUAUCUAACUGUUAAUAUUAAGCUAUUAAACCAAUCAAUGAAAAGAUAUAGAAAAGUUACGCAUAAAGGUAUCAUAAACAAGCUCUAAUAUUCCAACGAAAAAAUGAACUUGGAGGGAAAUAAUCCAAUCAUCAUCCUACCACGCAGAAAAAAAGACUUAUUAGAGGCAUAUAUUCUAGCUAUACCGGCGGGCCUUGUGGGCGCUCAUCACUACUAUCUACGCAAUUAUGGACGAGGAGUUCUCUAUACAUUGACUUUAGGACUACUAGGAAUGGGAUGGCUUAUGGACAUAUUCCGAAUGUCGAUUCUAGUCAAAAGAGCCAACUUGAAAUUAGAAGAACCAGAAAAUAUUGAAUGUAAACAGAAAUAUAUUGGAGAUGCCUAUACAUUUUGGCUCCCAUUUGGAUUAUUGGGAUUUCAUCAAUAUUAUUUAAGAAGAUGGUCGUGGGGAAUAGCUUAUUCUUUAACGUUUGGGCUUCUUGGUAUCGGUUGGCUAGUGGACGGAUGUCGAAUGUAUAAAUUAGUUAGAAAAUACAAUACAGAUAUGGCUAUCCGAUUGGAAAAUUCUCCAAACUAUAAAGAAAAACAAUUGUUGGAUACUUACAUUAUAGCAAUAACACCUGCGGGUAUUUUUGGAAUGCAUCAUUUCUAUUUGGGUAGAUGUUGUUGGGGAUUUCUCUAUCUCUUUACCUUUGGAUUAUGUGGACUUGGUUGGUUGUCAGACCUAAUAAGAUUAUCAAUGAUAGUUAAAAGAACAAAUGAAAGCAAGAGAUCUAAGCCCGACUAUCCUAUCAAAUAUGUCGAUGAAGCUUACACACUUAUUUUACCACCACUUGGUCUUUUAGGCUUACAUCAUUACUAUUUGAGACGCUACGGUUGGGGUGUUGCUUAUACAUGUACUUUCGGUUGUUUCGGUGUUGGUUGGAUUUUUGAUUUAUUUCGAUUGUCCAAAUUAGUACAUCAGGUUAAUGCCAGGGCAAAACAAAAAAAGUCUAUUCGAGAUCUUGUUCAGUCGUACGUGAAUGAGCAUCAAGCCGGUCCCCAGCAUAUUGUUCCACCUCCAACUACACAUUCUUGUACUGAAUUGGAAGCGCCUCCUUCAUAUGAAAUUGCAAUGGCGACAUCGGCUAGACAGCCCUCUCCUUUGCCUCCUCCACGACCUCCACCUCCAAGAGACUUCCACAGUUUGGCGAUGGAAAGUUCUUCAGAACUAGGUGGAUUCAACAAUAUCGCUAACGAACAGAAGCGAAUGGUUAUCGAAGCUCAUCAAAGGGCAGCAGCAGCAGAACAAGCACAGCCUGAACCAGCAGAAAAUUCAACAUUAGGAGGGUUUGAAACGAUAGCCUUAGAACAAAAGCGAAUGGUCGAAGAGGCCAAUAGAAGUCAACAACUCGUUUAG
This 2065-nucleotide unclassified non-coding RNA is filed under the name Dimorphilus gyrociliatus. Its description in RNAcentral is "dgyrCDS1399". Lineage: Eukaryota; Metazoa; Annelida; Polychaeta; Dinophilidae. The record is from RNAcentral.